Non-coding RNA from Aegilops tauschii subsp. strangulata, 2164 nucleotides. Lineage: Eukaryota; Viridiplantae; Streptophyta; Magnoliopsida; Poales; Poaceae. The record is from RefSeq and is a predicted model, not a curated record.
UUUCGUGGUCGGCGUCCAUUCCCCACCCUUCUGAAGAUUUGUCCCACACACACACCCCUCUCUUAUCCCUUCUCCCCAUCCGUCCACAGCGACACGGGUCGGCGCGGCGGCGUGGUGCCGGCGACAGUGGAUCUUGGAUCCGGCGAGCUAACAGAGCUGAGCGGCUCAGCAUCUGCAAGCACGGCGAGGGAGGAGCAGGACUUCGCUCGCUGUCGAAGGGCGCCCCCAUGGUGAGGGAGAUAAGUCGCUUGACAUUGACAGCUCACGCGACCCUCAUGUAGCAGGAGGCGGUGGUGCGACGCGAGCUUGUGCGACCGCGGCGUGUGAGAGGCGACUCCGCGUGGUGCGGGAGAUAACUGAUUGUGCAUCGGCAGCGUGCAAGACUGGAAGUCGCAAGUUAGAGGUGUGUGUAAGUAAUUUUCCCCAUCCAACCAAUGUCAUGGAAUAGCAAUCUAAUCGUCACAGUCAUUAAGAUGGACUUGAAGGGGUAUGGUGUGUUUGUCAAGCUACAAGUGAGUAGACCUUUUUGCUCCCCUUCUUUUGUUUUUGAAUACAUCUCCUUUUUUAACUUGCACAUGUUUGUUCUGGCAGUUUUACAACUAGGCAUACCAGUCUGGCACAACAACCCAUGGUAGUUGCACAAAGGCUUAUACAUUUUUCUCUCAAAGGUAGUGGAAGAGGGAACAAACAAACAAAUCAGCAUGAGUUUGAAAUAAACAAAUCAAAUUUUGGCAGCACCUUUUCUAUCAAACUAAACAUCCAAAUAAAUUCUCUCAGUUGCACACAUGGGUCUAAUCAGUUGCACAGAUGCACCCACAGAUUGCACAAAUAAAACACAUGAUGUUUUUUUUUGCUGUUGUAUUACAUUUCUUCUUCUUCUGUAUUCAAGCUUUUCACACAAGUUCUAUUCCAGCUGGCACACAAUAGACACAAAUCUGAAAGUAUUUUUAUUCAAGUCAAACAUCCAAACUAGUUCUGUCAGUUGCACAAUUCUUUUUUAAGUUGCACAGAAGAAAGCCAUAAGUUGCACACCACAAAUCUAUCUAGUUCCAAUAUGUUGUCAGGUUUGCCGCCACAUACAUUUUUUAUGUUUUUCCAUAGUUCCACAUAGGGUAUUCUGCCAAUUUUGACCAAGAUGACAUACAACAUGGGGUCCCAUGUUUUCUCAUGAAGUUUUUGUUUUUUAUGCAUCAACAAUCUUACAAGCAGUAACACAUCUUCUUUUUGUUUUGUUUUUGUCUACCAACCAGGAGCUGGAUGGAUGAGCUUCUAACAAACAAAUUUUGCACAGAAGAAGUGAUCACCAAUAAGCAAUCUGCUACUUUGUCUCUCUUUUUUAGCCAUUGUUUGCCUUUUGAACUAAAACAUUAGUGCAUUAUAGAUAUAUCUAGUAGACUAGGUGCAACAAACUAGAACAUAUGGCCUAUAUAUGUUACAUUUUCUUCUUUUUUACAGCAGGAUGUUCACUGGUUUCCUCUGUGUGUGUGUGUUGCACAAUAUGAAACAAAAGUUGGCUGGAUUACCUGAAAUAGUUGGUCGCAACCAAAAGAAAAGUCACACAAUAUGAAAUUCCAUGUUUGUGUGUUCCUGGGGUUUUAUGUGUGUUUUUGCACAAGUUUGGCUGAACUAUUUGUGGAGCAGUUGCAGUCAACAUGAAGAUGAAUUGGAGAAGUUGAAUUCAAGCUGAAGAAGAAGAGGAACAUGUCACCUUGGUUCCUCCUUUUUUCAAGUUGAAGAUCUACAGCAGCCUGAUCUUCCCUGACAGCUUCUGAGAUAGGGAAGGCUCCCAUGGCGUGUUCGUAGUUACUUCUUUCGAGGGUAAGAAGAUGGUGGGCGAAGCAGCAGGAGAUGGGUUGGUGUGUGUGGGUGAUUGGUGAGACCAGGAACGAGGAAGAGAAAAGGUGGGGGCAGAAUCACGUGGGUUCAGUAGUGGAGUGGGGCGCUGGGGACCUGGUGUUUUCUGUGCGGUGGGGGUUGUCCUUUCCCUUUUUUCCUUUUUAGGAUUGAGUGGGGACAGAAACUUACCAUAUUUAGGAGGCCGCUCGGGACCGCUAGGGAGCCAACGGCCGCUCCCUCGACGCGUCCUGUUUGUUUUGCACUCUUCAAAGUCCUUUGCCGAGUGUAACAAAGCAGGCACUCAUCAAACAAACGGCCGAUGACAGAA